This 253-nucleotide ribosomal RNA is filed under the name uncultured bacterium. Its description in RNAcentral is "partial 16S ribosomal RNA". It matches the Rfam family "Bacterial small subunit ribosomal RNA", at positions 524 to 776 of the family's 1533-position model. The record is from RNAcentral.
UACGAAGGGGGCUAGCGUUGCUCGGAAUUACUGGGCGUAAAGGGAGCGUAGGCGGACGACUAAGUUAGAGGUGAAAGCCCGGGGCUCAACUCCGGAAUUGCCUUUAAGACUGCAUCGCUAGAAUUGUGGAGAGGUAAGUGGAAUUCCGAGUGUAGAGGUGAAAUUCGUAGAUAUUCGGAAGAACACCAGUGGCGAAGGCGACUUACUGGACACAUAUUGACGCUGAGGUGCGAAAGCGUGGGGAGCAAACAGG